GUCUAUGGUCAUACCACCCUCAUAGGGCCUGAUCUCAUCUGAUCUCCAAAGCUAAGCAAGGUUGGGCCUAGUUGGUAAUUGGAUGGGAGACCCACCUGGGAAUGCCAGGUGUUACAGGCU
RNAcentral lists this ribosomal RNA (120 nucleotides) under Prolemur simus (greater bamboo lemur). Lineage: Eukaryota; Metazoa; Chordata; Mammalia; Primates; Lemuridae. The record is from RNAcentral.